AAAGGCCGAUAGCUUGCUCUCGGGUGACGAGCGGCGGACGGGUGAGUAAUGUCUGGGAAACUGCCUGAUGGAGGGGGAUAACUACUGGAAACGGUAGCUAAUACCGCAUAACGUCGCAAGACCAAAGUGGGGGACCUUCGGGCCUCAUGCCAUCAGAUGUGCCCAGAUGGGAUUAGCUAGUAGGUGGGGUAACGGCUCACCUAGGCGACGAUCCCUAGCUGGUCUGAGAGGAUGACCAGCCACACUGGAACUGAGACACGGUCCAGACUCCUACGGGAGGCAGCAGUGGGGAAUAUUGCACAAUGGGCGCAAGCCUGAUGCAGCCAUGCCGCGUGUGUGAAGAAGGCCUUCGGGUUGUAAAGCACUUUCAGCGGGGAGGAAGGCGAUGAGGUUAAUAACCUUGUCGAUUGACGUUACCCGCAGAAGAAGCACCGGCUAACUCCGUGCCAGCAGCCGCGGUAAUACGGAGGGUGCAAGCGUUAAUCGGAAUUACUGGGCGUAAAGCGCACGCAGGCGGUCUGUCAAGUCGGAUGUGAAAUCCCCGGGCUCAACCUGGGAACUGCAUUCGAAACUGGCAGGCUAGAGUCUUGUAGAGGGGGGUAGAAUUCCAGGUGUAGCGGUGAAAUGCGUAGAGAUCUGGAGGAAUACCGGUGGCGAAGGCGGCCCCCUGGACAAAGACUGACGCUCAGGUGCGAAAGCGUGGGGAGCAAACAGGAUUAGAUACCCUGGUAGUCCACGCCGUAAACGAUGUCGAUUUGGAGGUUGUGCCCUUGAGGCGUGGCUUCCGGAGCUAACGCGUUAAAUCGACCGCCUGGGGAGUACGGCCGCAAGGUUAAAACUCAAAUGAAUUGACGGGGGCCCGCACAAGCGGUGGAGCAUGUGGUUUAAUUCGAUGCAACGCGAAGAACCUUACCUGGUCUUGACAUCCACAGAACUUUCCAGAGAUGGAUUGGUGCCUUCGGGAACUGUGAGACAGGUGCUGCAUGGCUGUCGUCAGCUCGUGUGUGAAAUGUUGGGUUAAGUCCCGCAACGAGCGCAACCCUUAUCCUUUGUUGCCAGCGGUUCGGCCGGGAACUCAAAGGAAACUGCCAGGGAUAACUGGAGGAAGGGGGGAUAAC
This 1118-nucleotide ribosomal RNA is filed under the name Klebsiella pneumoniae. Its description in RNAcentral is "bacterial SSU rRNA". It matches the Rfam family "Bacterial small subunit ribosomal RNA", at positions 70 to 1183 of the family's 1533-position model. The record is from RNAcentral. Lineage: Bacteria; Pseudomonadati; Pseudomonadota; Gammaproteobacteria; Enterobacterales; Enterobacteriaceae.